This 24-nucleotide microRNA is filed under the name Gossypium raimondii (Peruvian cotton). Its description in RNAcentral is "gra-miR5207". The record is from miRBase by way of RNAcentral. Lineage: Eukaryota; Viridiplantae; Streptophyta; Magnoliopsida; Malvales; Malvaceae.
CUUAAGGUGGGUUUGGAUGGGCGA